CAUACAUUCCCUUUGGACAGUAAGAUGAAACGACUCAAUAUCGCCAUCUGCGACCUACUGGGUGCAUGGCGGACGCCGGGUAGAAUUCCCUAGACAACCUGCACCGUCUGGUCCCGACAAUGGAACAGAUGCCGACUCUAGUUCCACUGAGAACUUGUAAGAGCGUAUGACAUCAAUGAAGAAUCUCGUCAGCAUGCUUCAGAAUGUGGAUGGUCGGAUGGAAGGCUGGUUCCAGCUGUAGCUAGUUCACACACAUGGUCACAGACUGAGGUGCCUGACCCUUUGGACAGAUACCAAUCCUCUGAGUGGCACAAUUCAGGAUGAAUGGAUGAUGGAGGCAGUGGACUACAAGAACAGCUGACAUGGCGGAAGCAGCCAGGGGUUAUUUUUACCGUGUGUGGAGUUCCGUUCAACUGCCAAGGGAGCGAGCUGCAGGAAACGCAAGUGGUCAAGGAGUCAAGGAAACAGGCUUUCCUUGGCACACAAAGCAGCCCACAAUCUGUAUAACCUCAACAACCUCCACCCACCACCAGCACCACCUCCACCCUGAAAGAGAGGAGCAACACUGGGAUUCAAUACUCCACAAUCUGGGGGAGCGAGCGUGCCAACAUCCGUGAGAUGAGGUUUGGGCACAGAACCUGUUUCUCUCUUCCCUCUCUCUCUCUCUCUCUCUCUCUCAC
This 680-nucleotide long non-coding RNA is filed under the name Salmo salar (Atlantic salmon). RNAcentral's name for it is "lncRNA (ENSSSAG00000087112.1, ENSSSAG00020071152.1, ENSSSAG00075035018.1)". Lineage: Eukaryota; Metazoa; Chordata; Actinopteri; Salmoniformes; Salmonidae. The record is from RNAcentral.